CCUACGGGGGGCUGCAGUGGGGAAUAUUGCACAAUGGGCGCAAGCCUGAUGCAGCCAUGCCGCGUGUGUGAAGAAGGCCUUCGGGUUGUAAAGCACUUUCAGCGGGGAGGAAGGCGGUGAGGUUAAUAACCUCAUCGAUUGACGUUACCCGCAGAAGAAGCACCGGCUAACUCCGUGCCAGCAGCCGCGGUAAUACGGAGGGUGCAAGCGUUAAUCGGAAUUACUGGGCGUAAAGCGCACGCAGGCGGUCUGUCAAGUCGGAUGUGAAAUCCCCGGGCUCAACCUGGGAACUGCAUUCGAAACUGGCAGGCUAGAGUCUUGUAGAGGGGGGUAGAAUUCCAGGUGUAGCGGUGAAAUGCGUAGAGAUCUGGAGGAAUAUCGGUGGCGAAGGCGGCCCCCUGGACAAAGACUGACGCUCAGGUGCGAAAGCGUGGGGAGCAAACAGGAUUAGAUACCCUAGUAGUC
This 465-nucleotide ribosomal RNA is filed under the name uncultured Klebsiella sp. Its description in RNAcentral is "bacterial SSU rRNA". It matches the Rfam family "Bacterial small subunit ribosomal RNA", at positions 338 to 795 of the family's 1533-position model. Lineage: Bacteria; Pseudomonadati; Pseudomonadota; Gammaproteobacteria; Enterobacterales; Enterobacteriaceae. The record is from RNAcentral.